Molecule: ribosomal RNA, 417 nt
Filed under: uncultured bacterium
Lineage: Bacteria
Description: bacterial SSU rRNA
Rfam family: Bacterial small subunit ribosomal RNA
Source: RNAcentral
GGCCAGCAGCCGCGGUAAUACGUAGGUGGCAAGCGUUAUCCGGAAUUAUUGGGCGUAAAGCGCGCGCAGGUGGUUUCUUAAGUCUGAUGUGAAAGCCCACGGCUCAACCGUGGAGGGUCAUUGGAAACUGGGAGACUUGAGUGCAGAAGAGGAAAGUGGAAUUCCAUGUGUAGCGGUGAAAUGCGUAGAGAUAUGGAGGAACACCAGUGGCGAAGGCGACUUUCUGGUCUGUAACUGACACUGAGGCGCGAAAGCGUGGGGAGCAAACAGGAUUAGAUACCCUGGUAGUCCACGCCGUAAACGAUGAGUGCUAAGUGUUAGAGGGUUUCCGCCCUUUAGUGCUGAAGUUAACGCAUUAAGCACUCCGCCUGGGGAGUACGGCCGCAAGGCUGAAACUCAAAGGAAUUGGCGGGGGAU